RNAcentral lists this ribosomal RNA (253 nucleotides) under uncultured microorganism. RNAcentral describes it as "partial 16S ribosomal RNA". It matches the Rfam family "Bacterial small subunit ribosomal RNA", at positions 524 to 776 of the family's 1533-position model. The record is from RNAcentral.
AACGUAGGGGGCGAGCGUUGUCCGGAAUUACUGGGCGUAAAGGGCGUGUAGGCGGUCAGGUGUAUCAAGGGUGAAAGCCCACGGCUCAACUGUGGGAGGUCUCUUGAGAUUACCUGACUAGAGGGUAGAAGAGGGAGAUGGAAUUCCCGGUGUAGCGGUGAAAUGCGUAGAUAUCGGGAAGAACGCCGGUGGUGAAGACGGUCUCCUGGGCUACUCCUGACGCUGAGGCGCGAAAGCUAGGGGAGCGAACGGG